Canis lupus familiaris (dog) is the source of this 3774-nucleotide long non-coding RNA. RefSeq lists it as uncharacterized. The transcript is spliced from 9 exons. The record is from RefSeq and is a predicted model, not a curated record. Lineage: Eukaryota; Metazoa; Chordata; Mammalia; Carnivora; Canidae.
AAACUAUAAUAAUCUUUGGAGAAAUCUCUCCUCAAGUUCGUCUGUUUCCAGUCAUUAACAAAAAGGAAAGAAAAAUGUUAAAGGUACGGAGAAAAGUCCAGUGCGUACAGCUGGUUUCAGCAAUUUCAACUUGCGCAAGACCCGUGUUUGUGAAAGCAACUCAAGAAUCUUUGAACAGGAUGUAAUCAACCUCCGAUCUGCUGAGAAACACUGCAAAAAUGACUUCCCCUGCCAAAAAUAAUAAUGUCGUUUACAAGCAGCUCUUCCAUGUCUAAGGAAGAACUAGCCACACGUGUGAGUUUAUACUGGCUGCAGAGGAGCAAGCAAGAAGGGCAAAUCCCACCUACCCCCGCCUAAAAUACUCAGUAGCAGAACCCACGGGAAUCUGUGGCCGGUUCCAGAGGUGCUGGCAAUAUCCAGGAAGAUUCGUAUCGACAGAAAUCCAAAUGAGAACAAACUUGACACCUGAAAUUGCAGCAGCUGUUUGGUGACCAGAAGGGGACAUGCAGGAGAAGAAAAGGCUGUGAGGACAUAAAGAGGCAGAUCUUAAAGCAAUGUAUUCUGAUCGAGAAACAGCUGGAAAUGGCAGCAACGUGAUAUGGAGCAAUCAAGAACGGAAGGUUUAUUUUGAAUGAGAGGUGUUGUCCAGCUGUGAGACUGAGUGAUUGCAGCUGAGAAUGAGUGCAAACACAAUCACUAGUGGCUCCAGGCAGCAAAGCCAGGUUUAAAAACAAUUAUUAUUCUCUCUCAUGCUGUCUUCCUCUAAGAGGCUUGGGUUUCCCCCUCAAAGGUCACUAUGAAGUCACUGUGAAGAGAUGCCUUCCUAUCUUUUGAAAUCCUGAGGAGUGGAGACUGGAGAAAACGGGUUUCAGUUACCUCAGGUUCACUGUCAUCCAGAAGCAGAGAAUCCUCCUGACUUGACAUCAGAAGGUCAAUAGUUGCUAACACUACGUCACAUUGCCUAGGUCGUGCACCUCACUUCAUCUCAUCAAACAGGCAUUUUUAUCAUCUCACAUCAUCACGAGAAGAGCAAGGUUUUCUGAAGAGGAUCUGAGGUGAACACAUCAGCCUGCAGUGUCCCUAGCAAUGCCAACAAGGACAGUCUACAUAGAGUCCUUCUCCUGCUUUCAUCUCUCCAGCCAGAAAAGAUUUUCUACUUGUAAGGAUGCAGGAUGAGAAUGGACCCACACAGAUAACUUAGAAGAAUCUUUCCAGGUCCUUAAUUUAAUCAAAUCUGCAAAAUCCCUUUUGCCAUAUAAGGUACUGUAUGAUCAAAUGGGAAUGGACCACACUUCAGCUGUGCCAAGGAGAUGGAUGACCAAAUCUGAGAGAGCAAUACAUAGAGACUUAAAAUACAAACACUAUUAUUCCCAUAGAGUAAUUCCUGUCAUGGGAUAUUUGCCAGAUGAGUAUCAUGGCAUUAAUCUCCAUCCACAACUGUCUCAUCUUUCCUUUGGCCCAGCAGCCAAGACAUCUUAGUACCAUUUGGAGAUACUUUGUUUUCAUGAUCUUAUCACCAGUCCUUUACCUAAAGCAGAAAAGACAGCAAAGAAACAUUGAUAGAGGAAAAGAAUAUUGAGACAGUUCUAAGUGGACUGUUGGUUCUGUUAUCUGUGAUGAAUGACAUUUCUCCUUCAUUUAUUUACAUCAAUAUCUAUAAUUUCUGGGUUUCUAAUGCUAGAUGUAUAUCAUAGCUUUCUUUUAAAAUGGGAAUAAUGGUCACAAUAGUGUCUAGUGAACAAAGACAUUAGCCACAUAGUGGCAAAUUACUCUAGGAUGAAGAAAGUCAUUUCUAAUAUCUCUCUUGCAUCUCUCCUAUACACACACACACUCACACACCCAAUAGUUUCUAUCAAAUACCUGAUGGAAUGGCAAGAGUUUCAUAGUUUCAUUACUUGGCAACUUUUGGGUUUGAAAGAAGAUUGGGUGGCAUUAAUGUAGUAUAUGUUAGUUAUCUUAAAAACCACCACCACCACCACUACAGUAAAUAGGCCUCUGUUAAUAAAAUUAAAUAAAUUUCUAGCUCCUCAGGAAAACAAAAUAUUGUCUCAUUGGUGGAGACCAGACCCAAAGCAGAUCACUUUAUUUAUAAUAACUAGAAAUGUCAAUUUCCUUAGGGUUAAUUUUUCUAUAAUCACAAUCACUUUUUGCCCAAGGGAAUUAAUUCUAAAAUUAAGACUAGCCAUUUUGUAUCACUUUUUGUUUCUGAUUAAAAAAGGCAUUACAGACUUUUUGAAUUAAAAAUAAAACUUGAUUUUUUAAAGCAAUUCUUGCCCUAGAUAAAACUUUCAGUCUGAUGCCACCAAACUUUUAGUAGAACAAUUGCAUUAUCAAAAUGGCUACAAAAGAAAUAAUGUUUUCCUUAUUCUGUGGACAUUUCUUAAAUGCCUCUGUCAAUAUUUCCAGUUUCAAAAUACAUUCUAAUAGAAAUUCAGCAAGUGGUAUUUUAAGCAAAUCCUAAUUAGAAACCAUUUGAAUGUCAGUGAUCAAAACAUAGGAAGGGAAACUUGAUAUUUAAUGAUGAGAUGGCACACUUAUAGAAUGCCUUUUCCUGAGAAGAUCAAAACAGAUAAGCACAAGUUUAAGUAUCUGUUUAACACUGAUACCUGGAGUUGGGCACGUACACUAACUUUUCCAGGUGGGGCUAGGAGGAGAAUUGUGUAUUUACCUUGCACAUCUGACAGCACAGGAACAGGCUUGUUUUAUUUAGUGGGAAAAAAGUGGAUAGCCAGGGGUAAAUUGACAUGGAGGAACAGAUAGCCUCAGUUCAAAUACUGUUUGCCUCUGAAAUCAGUGUUACUGUUGACAUCUUCUGUCCACUUUGUUGUCAAUCCCUAAAAUAAUUUAAGGAUUUUGUUCCCUCAGAAAAGAAAGCUUUAAUUCAUUGCUUCGUGUAUGUUGGCAAAAAUGCUUCUGCCAAAGGCUAUUUCUGAAAUACUGCAGUAAGAAGAUCUAAAUCAAUAAAGGAUAAAAAAAUGAAAAAAAAAUAAUAAAGAUGUCCAGCAAUGCCAUGUUCUAUUUAAGUGUCAAGCUAAAAAAUAUGUUGAUACAGAGCUUAGAAAAGAGAUAAGUGCUCCAGUGCUCACUACUUUUACAGUUGGUGAUUCACAACAUACUUUUAAUAAGAGGGUGUGGGUAAAAUGAAAAAAGAGGAAGCUAGUAAAAAUUGACUACACUGUCCUAGCAGCUGCACAAACUACUGUUCAUCUUUUGGUGCAUUUACUUUGUUUCUUUUCCUGCAAAUUAUUAUAUUUUUGUUUGUAAAUUUUUUUGAUAUGAUUUCAAGUUCACAGGAUAUUUUCAAGAAGAGUACAAUAAAUUCCCUGAUACUUUUAACCCAGAUUCAGCAAUUGUUAAAUCUGGCCUCAUUGGCUAUAUCACCUUCUUUCUCUUCACAUCUGUGUGCAUGUGCAUAUACACACACACUUCUGUGUUUGCAUAAGUAUUUGUAACCAGAUACAUAUGCAAAUAUAUUUUUUUCCUGAAUCAUUGAAAGCAUUAUGUCUUUAUUACUAAAUACCAAUAAAAAUCAAGAACUUGAACAUUGUCACAACACAUUAUCUAAUUCAUAUGUUUAACUUUUGCCAGUGUCCCAGCAAGCUAUUGUAUAGUUUUGUCCCCUUAAUACAGCAUCUAGUCUAGAUCAUAUGUUGCAUUUAUUACCAUGUCUGGUUAAUCUCCAUUAAUCUGAAAAGGAUUCUCAAACUUUCUCUUUUUCUUGACCUUGACAUUUUUUAAGAGAUAAUAAUGAUAACAAUAAAUAAUUUUGUAGAA